Molecule: ribosomal RNA, 253 nt
Filed under: uncultured bacterium
Lineage: Bacteria
Description: partial 16S ribosomal RNA
Rfam family: Bacterial small subunit ribosomal RNA
Source: RNAcentral
UACGAGUGGUGCAAGCGUUAUUCGGAAUCAUUGGGCGUAAAGGGUGUGUAGGUGGCAUGUUAAGUCUAUUGUUAAAUAUCUCAGCCUAACUGAGAAGGUGCAAUAGAUACUGAUGUGAUAGAGGAUGGAAGAGAGAAGUGGAAUUCUCGGAGUAGCGGUAAAAUGCGUAGAUCUCGAGAGGAACACCGAUGGCGAAGGCAGCUUCUUGGUCCAUUCCUGACGCUGAUACACGAAAGCGUGGGGAGCAAACAGG